RNAcentral lists this ribosomal RNA (253 nucleotides) under uncultured bacterium. RNAcentral describes it as "partial 16S ribosomal RNA". It matches the Rfam family "Bacterial small subunit ribosomal RNA", at positions 524 to 776 of the family's 1533-position model. The record is from RNAcentral.
GACGUAGGGCGCAAGCGUUGUCCGGAAUUAUUGGGCGUAAAGAGCUCGUAGGCGGUUUGUCGCGUCUGCCGUGAAAGUCCGGGGCUCAACUCCGGAUCUGCGGUGGGUACGGGCAGACUAGAGUGAUGUAGGGGAGACUGGAAUUCCUGGUGUAGCGGUGAAAUGCGUAGAUAUCAGGAAGAACACCCGUGGCUAAGGCGGCUCUCUAGUACGGUACUGACGCUGAGACGCGAAAGCGUGGGGAGCGAACAGG